This 649-nucleotide long non-coding RNA is filed under the name Equus caballus (horse). RNAcentral describes it as "lncRNA (ENSECAG00000049981.1)". Lineage: Eukaryota; Metazoa; Chordata; Mammalia; Perissodactyla; Equidae. The record is from RNAcentral.
CGGAGAUUUGUGAUUGCUCUUUCUCCUCAGUAACAGCAGCCAUCCCUUUAUUCAAGACCUGAGAGGCCACAUUAUCUUUGGAGGAGGCUGGACAGCAUGAGUCGAAGGCUCUAGAGAAGCUUCAGGGCAUGCCCACGUGGACUAGGACGGAAAAUAGUCCUUUUCAACCACAGAGAAAAGUGCAGCCUGCUCUUGCCAGUGUGGGGAGACAGAUCUUCCAGCUGGAUCACCCUUACUCCUCUUCAGGAUCGAAGAUGGAGCAAUCUUUUAAGAACAAAAAUCGCUGGAGUCUCCUGGUGGCUGAGUGGUUAAGUUCCCGCGCUCUGCUUCAGCGGCCCAGGGUUUUCCCGGUUCAGAUCCUGGGUGCAGACAUGGCACCGCUCAUCAAGCCACACUGAAGCGGCAUCCCACAUGCCACAACUAGAAGGACCCACAACUAAAAUGUGCAAUUAUGUACUGGGGGGAUUUGGGGAGAAAAAGUAGAAGAACAAAAUAAAGAAGAUUGGCAAUAACUGUUAGCUCAGUGCCAAUCUUUUAAAAAGAAACCCAAAAAUUGUUCUGUCUUUCCUCUGUUUGAAACCUGGUUUCCCAGUUCACUUAAUAGGUCUAUUUAAACAUAAAUUAUAUCAUACUUUAACGUAAACUGAAC